AGGUCUUGACAUCUAGCGCCAAUCUCAGAGAUGAGACGUUCCCUUCGGGGACGCUAAGACAGGUGGUGCAUGGUUGUCGUCAGCUCGUGUCGUGAGAUGUUGGGUUAAGUCCGCAACGAGCGCAACCCUUAUUAUCAGUUGCCAGCAUUCAGUUGGGCACUCUGGUGAGACUGCCGGUGACAAACCGGAGGAAGGUGGGGACGACGUCAAAUCAUCAUGCCCCUUAUGACCUGGGCUACACACGUGCUACAAUGGACGGUACAACGAGUUGCGAACUCGCGAGGGUAAGCUAAUCUCUUAAAGCCGUUCUCAGUUCGGACUGUAGGCUGCAACUCGCCUACACGAAGUCGGAAUCGCUAGUAAUCGCGGAUCAGCAUGCCGCGGUGAAUACGUUCCCGGGCCUUGUACACACCGCCCGUCACACCAUGAGAGUUUGUAACACCCAAAGUCGGUGGGGUAACCCUUCGGGGAGCCAGCCGCCUAAGGUGGGACAGAUGAUUAGGGUGAAGUCGUAACAAGGUAGGCGUAGACGU
RNAcentral lists this ribosomal RNA (533 nucleotides) under uncultured bacterium. Its description in RNAcentral is "bacterial SSU rRNA". It matches the Rfam family "Bacterial small subunit ribosomal RNA", at positions 976 to 1509 of the family's 1533-position model. The record is from RNAcentral.